GUCAAUAACUACUACUGACCCUGACCCCAUCUCCUAGGUCAAUAACUAUUCUGACCAAGACCGCAUCUCCUAGGUCAAUAACUACUACUAACCCUGACCCUGAUCCCAUCUCCUAGGUCAAUAACUACUACUGACCCUCACCCUAACCCCAUCUCCUAGGUCAAUAACUACUACUGACCCUGACCCCAUCUCCUAGGUCAAUAACUACUACUGACCCUGACCCCAUCUCCUAGGUCAAUAACUACUACUGACCCUGACCCCAUCUCCUAGGUCAAUAACUACUACUGACCCUGACCCUGACCCCAUCUCCUAGGUCAAUAACUACUACUAACCCUGACCCCAUCUCAUAGUUCAAUAACUACUACUGACCCUGACCCUGACCCCAUCUCCUAGG
Molecule: long non-coding RNA, 394 nt
Organism: Oncorhynchus tshawytscha (Chinook salmon)
Lineage: Eukaryota; Metazoa; Chordata; Actinopteri; Salmoniformes; Salmonidae
Source: Ensembl